UAGGGAAUCUUCCGCAAUGGACGAAAGUCUGACGGAGCAACGCCGCGUGAGUGAUGAAGGUUUUCGGAUUGUAAAGCUCUGUUGUUAGGGAAGAACAAGUACCGUUCGAAUAGGGCGGUACCUUGACGGUACCUAACCAGAAAGCCACGGCUAACUACGUGCCAGCAGCCGCGGUAAUACGUAGGUGGCAAGCGUUGUCCGGAAUUAUUGGGCGUAAAGGGCUCGCAGGCGGUUUCUUAAGUCUGAUGUGAAAGCCCCCGGCUCAACCGGGGAGGGUCAUUGGAAACUGGGGAACUUGAGUGCAGAAGAGGAGAGUGGAAUUCCACGUGUAGCGGUGAAAUGCGUAGAGAUGUGGAGGAACACCAGUGGCGAAGGCGACUCUCUGGUCUGUAACUGACGC
RNAcentral lists this ribosomal RNA (400 nucleotides) under uncultured bacterium. Its description in RNAcentral is "bacterial SSU rRNA". It matches the Rfam family "Bacterial small subunit ribosomal RNA", at positions 355 to 746 of the family's 1533-position model. The record is from RNAcentral.